UUGCUUUGACAGCAGGUGCAAUAAACUUGAAAUGAUACAGAGAAGAUUAGCACAGCUCUUGCACGAAGAUGGUGCAAAAAAAAAGACUGAUACACAAGGUACUG
Molecule: small nuclear RNA, 104 nt
Organism: Cavia aperea (Brazilian guinea pig)
Lineage: Eukaryota; Metazoa; Chordata; Mammalia; Rodentia; Caviidae
Source: Ensembl